RNA transcript from Ipomoea nil (Japanese morning glory), 1739 nucleotides. It is a transcript of the gene named glycoprotein 3-alpha-L-fucosyltransferase A-like, with no coding region annotated. NCBI's taxonomy places the organism in Eukaryota, Viridiplantae, Streptophyta, Magnoliopsida, Solanales, Convolvulaceae. The record is from RefSeq and is a predicted model, not a curated record. The transcript has 8 exons.
UUAUGAGGAUUUCGAGAGUGGAGAAUGGGCACAAUGCAAUCGGGUCACCCAUAUACUCCAGCGCCGCCAAGAAGAAGUGCUCGAAUUGGCUGCCGAUAUUCGUAGCCUUUGUGUUUAUAGCAGAGAUAGCCUUUCUGGGUCGACUUGACGUGACCAACAAUGUCGACCUGGUCAACUCGUGGGCUCACUCGUUUUACCAGUUCACCGCCACGCCCUGGUCAUCCACCUCCGCCGACGGCGGCGGCGAUGACCGUGGAUACUCCGGGGCCCGCUAUCGCCGCUUCGGAUAUGAGAGCUGCGAAGAUUGGUUGGAGAGGGUGGACGCCGUGACUUAUACGAGGAACUUCGACAAAGACCCUAUUCUCGUCCCCGCCAAUCCCCAGGAAUUAGCAUAUUGUUCUGUGGGAUGCAUAGGUGAGGGCAAUUCCGAUAAACAGCUUGAUGCAGUAUUUGGAUUGGUGACUAAAGCGCCUGAUACAACUAGGGUGCUGCGAUCAAUGGAGUCAUCAAAGUACUAUUCUGAUAAUAACAUUGCCAGUGCAAAAAGGAGGGGAUAUGAUGUUGUUAUGACAACGAGCCUCUCUUCAGAUGUUCCUGUUGGGUAUUUCUCUUGGGCUGAGUAUGACCUAAUGGCGCCAUUGCAACCGAAAACAGAGAAGGCUUUGGCAGCUGCUUUCAUUUCCAAUUGUGGUGGACACAAUUUCAGGUUGCCGGCGAUUGAAGCACUUGUAAGCGCAAACAUCAGUAUUGAUUCUUAUGGCAGGUGCCAUCAUAACAAGGAUGGAAUUGUGAACAAAGUGGAAGCACUGAAGCGUUACAAAUUUAGCUUGGCUUUUGAAAAUUCCAAUGAGGAGGAUUAUGUGACAGAGAAGUUCUUCCAGUCUCUUGUUGCUGGUGCUAUUCCUGUGGUAGUUGGUGCUCCGAACAUCCAAGAUUUUGCUCCUUCUCCAGGUUCAGUGUUACAUAUUAAAGAGCUAUCAGAUGCAGAAAAAGUUGCAAAGACCAUGAAGUAUCUUGAUGAAAAUCCCGGUGCAUAUAAUCAGACACUUAGGUGGAAGUUUGAGGGUCCAUCUGUUUCUUUCAAGGCUCUCAUUGACAUGGCAGCGGUUCAUUCAUCAUGUCGGUUGUGCAUUCAUUUGGCAACAAGAAUUCGAGAGAGAGAAGAGAAGAGCCCAACUUUUAGUAAGCGUCCCUGCAAAUGUACCAGAGGUUCAGAAACUGUUUAUCAUGUAUAUGUACGCGAAAGAGGGAGGUUUGAGAUGGAGUCCAUUUUCUUGAGGUCUGGUAAUUUGACAAUGGAGGCCUUUGAAUUUGCGGUUUCAUUGAAGUUCAAGUCUCGAAAGCAUGUUCCCAUUUGGAAAGAAGAAAGACCCAAAAUGAUAAGGGGAGGGGAAGAGCUCACAAUUUACAGAAUAUAUCCUCUUGGAAUGACUCAAAGACAAGCAUUGUAUAGUUUCAAAUUUGAAGGGGAUAAUCAGUUUAGGGAACAUAUAGAAAGUAACUUGUGUGCUAAGUUUGAAGUCAUUUUUGUAUAGAUUAGCUUCAAAAUCUUCUGCCUCGCUCAUGGCUGAUCUACAAGGGAGAAUAAACCAUAUUUUCCCCAAAUCUUUCAUAUGCCAUUGUAAAAACAACAGAGUUUUUUUUUUUUUUAGUAGCUCUUUCAACUAUAACAAUAUUUUUACAUUUUGUUCUUAACUUUGUUUAAUCUUAAUGUUUAAAAAGUGUUCUAUUUUUAGAUU